This 253-nucleotide ribosomal RNA is filed under the name uncultured bacterium. RNAcentral describes it as "partial 16S ribosomal RNA". It matches the Rfam family "Bacterial small subunit ribosomal RNA", at positions 524 to 776 of the family's 1533-position model. The record is from RNAcentral.
UACGUAGGGUGCAAGCGUUAAUCGGAAUUACUGGGCGUAAAGCGUGCGCAGGCGGUUUUGUAAGUCAGUGGUGAAAGCCUGCAGCUUAACUGCAGAAUUGCCAUUGAUACUGAUGAUCUUGAGUAUGAUUGAGGUGGGCGGAAUGUGUCAUGUAGCGGUGAAAUGCUUAGAUAUGACGCAGAACACCGAUUGCGAAGGCAGCUCACUAAGCCAUAACUGACGCUGAUGCACGAAAGCGUGGGGAGCAAACAGG